This is an RNA transcript of Xenopus tropicalis (tropical clawed frog), 2960 nucleotides long. It is a transcript of the gene named protein phosphatase 2 regulatory subunit B', beta, with no coding region annotated. Lineage: Eukaryota; Metazoa; Chordata; Amphibia; Anura; Pipidae. The transcript has 15 exons. The record is from RefSeq and is marked provisional.
CACAAUCUCGCGAGAUGAGACUUGGGACGUUUGGGCUUAGCAGGAGCCAAGGCGCCGAAUGUUGACGGCGUUGCGGGACGUUUAAGUAGUGAUUCCAAACUGAGGGCUGCCUAAUAAAGAGAAUCGGGACUGGGCGGUUCAAUUCUUUUUAAAACCCCUUAACCUUCCUGCUGUCAAUCAUGCCGACAACAACCGUUUUGAAACCUGUCUUAAAAAUGAAAGUAGAUGAAUUAUUUUUACGCUGGCUUAGCGAGACACCAACACAAUUGCUCCUCAACGAUUAUUUAAGACGAAUAAAAAAUGGAGAGAAAAUUCUGCCGGACGCUGAUGACUAUGGUACUAAGGAAAUACCAAGCAAAAGUACUUUGCAUUCAGCUCAUAAAGCGCUGGAUAACUUGUCACUGUCUCCUCAGUCUGCCCUCCCACCUGGUUCUUAUGGAAGCCCAAGGAGUGGACUUACUCCUAGAAAACGUCGAUCUAGUAGUGUAGGGGUGGUUCAUCCAAAGAAGGAAGAACCACUGACGCCUGCCUUAAGCCAAAACAUUCCAAAAUUUUACUUUCCUAAGGGAUGCCCAAAAGCUAAUCUUAAUAUUGAUGGCAUCAUUUCAAAAAUAGAGAAGACUUUUUCUGGCUUUCCUCUUGAAAGAGCAACUUUGGAAGAUAUGGGUAAAGUGGCCAAGGCUUGUGAAUGCCCACUCUAUUGGAAAGCACCAUUGUUUUAUGCAGCUGGUGGAGAGAGGACAGGAUACGUGUCUGUUCAUAAGUUCAUAGCCAUGUGGCGAAAGAUCUUGCAUACUUGCCAUGAUGAUGCUGCAAAAUUCAUGCAGCUUCUUGCAAAACCCGGAUGCAGUUAUUUGGAACAGGAAGACUUCAUUCCAUUUUUACAAGAUGUAGUGAACACUCAUCCACACUUGACAUUUUUAAGAGAAGCUUCAGAAUUUCAUUCCCGUUACAUUACCACAGUAGUUCAAAGGAUUUUCUAUCUGGUGAAUAGGUCAUGGUCUGGACGUAUCACAUGUUCCGAGCUCAGAAAAAGUAAUUUUUUACAGCAUGUUGCAUUACUGGAGGAGGAAGAUAUCAAUCAGUCGGCAGAUUACUUUUCUUAUGAACACUUUUAUGUUAUCUACUGUAAAUUCUGGGAGCUUGACACUGACCAUGACUUGUACAUUGAUGAAAACGACCUUGCCAAGCACAAUGAUCAUGCAAUAUCAAGUCAUGUAAUUCAAAGAAUAUUCUCAGGCACAGUAACACGAAGUCGAAAAGUACAUAAAGAAGGAAAGAUUAGUUAUGCUGAUUUUGUUUGGUUUCUGUUAUCUGAAGAAGACAAGAAGACUCAGACAAGCAUAGAGUACUGGUUUCGCUGCAUGGAUUUGGAUGGUGAUGGUGUAUUGUCUAUGUAUGAGCUGGAAUACUUCUAUGAAGAGCAGUGUCAGAAGAUGGAAAGCAUGGCAAUUGAACCCUUGCCUUUUGAGGAUUGCCUUUGUCAGAUGCUGGAUUUGGUCAAGCCACAAACUGAAGGCAAAAUUACUCUCCAUGACUUGAAGAAAUGCAAGCAAGCAAAUAUUUUCUUUGACACCUUCCUUAAUUUGGAAAAAUACCUGGACCAUGAGCAGAAAGACCCCUUCUCUGUAUUAAGGGUUGGAGAGAAUGAAGGGCAGGAGCUGUCAGACUGGGAGAAGUACGCCGCAGAAGAAUAUGCAGUCUUGGUAGCGGAGGAAGCAGCAAAUGAACAGUGGAAUGAUGGGCUUUUUUACUGGUGUCCUGUGUGGCCUGUCUGUUCCGACCUCCAGCCUACCUUGCCCUGAUACGUACUAUGUUCCCCAGCUCCAGUGGCAGCAACUAUGGAUAACCAGCAUGGAUAUGACGCUGAGCUGAAUCUUUUGGAUAUUCCAGUGGCAAGCGAGGAUAAAUGUUCAUCUGAUAAAAGGCCUUUCUUUGACUUGCCGUCCCAUUCACCAGAAGCUGACUUGGAAGAGUAUGAGUAUGAAGAUGACUUUGAAUAAGUGUGGAACAUUGAAGGAACAUUUCCCUGCAGCUGGACUGCUGUGUUAUCUUUUGUGAACUGUAGUAAUAAGAACAAGUUACAGGACAACUGCAGCAGCAAGGCUACAUGUUUUUGUAUACUGUACACAUUUAAUUUAUUGCCAAAAUAAUUAUUUAUUACUGUUUUGCAGUGUGAUUUACUAUCAGUAAUGUGUUACUAUAAUAGGGCUGUAGUUGUGUUCCUGUUGUGCAUUUUGAUAUUUUCAAGGCACCACUGUUUAUAGAUGUAUUCCAUUAGUGCAGUGCUGGUCUUUCAUGGUAUCUGUAAUCAUAAUGAACUCUCUGGGGAAACUGCCUUAUUAUGUGCCGCAGCCAGUAAGAAAGCAGUCUGGCACGCAAUAACAUUUUCUCAGAAAAUCCCUUAGCAUUGGUGUCCAUGUCAAUCUCCAUUGGUAAAAUAUUGAAAUCAUAUAAGUGCCAGAAACUGCAGGAAGAAGGCAAUGUCUGUCAAUUAUGCAAUUUAAAAAUUUACUGCCAGCAACCAAUGCAAAGGCAUUUUCUGACAUUUUGACACCCAAGCUGGAGGAGAUUAAGCGCGGGCAACAACGCACCAUGUGCCUUUGCCCUUCUGAGCACAGCAGUCCUAGUGGCAAUCUACUAAGGUGUAAGUGUAACUGGUUUAAUGAUAGAAUAUAAUAUUCAGGUUUAGUUGUCACAUUCCAUAACUCACAAAUAACGCCAAUGGUAAGCCUUAAAUAUAGCCUUCUCCACCAGGUAACAUGUUUGUCUCAAAUAGUUUUUUGUUUUUCUAAAUGUACAUAAUGUAAAUUGCGAUUUUCAGCAUUUUAUAACAAUUAAAGUUUCAUUUGCAGGGGGAAAUAUUGUAAAUGUUUGCUGUGUAUGAAAAAAAGAAAAUGUAAAAUUUAAAGAAUUAAAAUUCUAUAUUGUAUUUGUGAAUAAAAUAUUUUUUGCACAAA